GGGUGUGAGGUCCAUCUGGUGGAGACAUAUACCACUCCACAGAUCACCAGACUUGAUCUGGCUGUCUGGGCAGGUGUCCCCUCUCACCCUCACCUCGCCGUAUGAUCUGUCAAGAGGUUGGCUGUCCUUGACAGAGGAGCACUAGUCUUUCUCAAGGGCAGAUGAGAAGCUGUACUUGUUUUGCUGGAAUCUCCAAAUUAGCCUCCAAGGUUAAUUUGUAGCAGGAUGGAGGGAAGUCAGGCUUGAAAGACUCCAGACACACCAGGUGAGGAGCUGCAUGCGACUGCUUUUCUUAUU
RNAcentral lists this small nuclear RNA (297 nucleotides) under Mus caroli (Ryukyu mouse). RNAcentral describes it as "sRNA (MGP_CAROLIEiJ_G0008580.1)". It matches the Rfam family "7SK RNA". Rfam says of the family: 7SK was discovered as an abundant small nuclear RNA in the mid-70s but a possible function has only recently been suggested. Two independent studies have found that 7SK RNA binds the CDK9/cyclin T complex (known as elongation factor P-TEFb). The record is from RNAcentral. Lineage: Eukaryota; Metazoa; Chordata; Mammalia; Rodentia; Muridae.